CACGUAGGCGGAUCGUUAAGUGAGGGUGAAAUCCCGGGGCUCAACCCCGGAACUGCCUUUCAUACUGGCGAUCUGGAGUUCGAGAGAGGUGAGUGGAAUUCCGAGUGUAGAGGUGAAAUUCGUAGAUAUUCGGAGGAACACCAGUGGCGAAGGCGGCUCACUGGCUCGAUACUGACGCUGAGGUGCGAAAGCGUGGGGAGCAAACA
RNAcentral lists this ribosomal RNA (206 nucleotides) under uncultured bacterium. RNAcentral describes it as "partial 16S ribosomal RNA". It matches the Rfam family "Bacterial small subunit ribosomal RNA", at positions 568 to 774 of the family's 1533-position model. The record is from RNAcentral.